Molecule: ribosomal RNA, 253 nt
Filed under: uncultured bacterium
Lineage: Bacteria
Description: partial 16S ribosomal RNA
Rfam family: Bacterial small subunit ribosomal RNA
Source: RNAcentral
GACAGAGGGUGCUAGCGUUGUUCGGAAUGACUGGGCGUAAAGGGCGCGUAGGCGGCCAAUCAAGUCAGAUGUGAAAGCCCCGGGCUUAACCUGGGAUGUGCAUUUGAUACUGGUGGGCUGGAGUACGAGAGAGGAAAGUGGAAUUCCUAGUGUAGAGGUGAAAUUCGUAGAUAUUCGGAGGAACACCAGUGGCGAAGGCGGCUCGCUGGCUCGAUACUGACGCUGAGGUGCGAAAGCGUGGGGAGCAAACAGG